This 491-nucleotide ribosomal RNA is filed under the name uncultured bacterium. RNAcentral's name for it is "partial 16S ribosomal RNA". It matches the Rfam family "Bacterial small subunit ribosomal RNA", at positions 29 to 507 of the family's 1533-position model. The record is from RNAcentral.
AGUGAACGCUGGCGGUAGGCCUAACACAUGCAAGUCGAACGGCAGCACAGUAAGAGCUUGCUCUUACGGGUGGCGAGUGGCGGACGGGUGAGGAAUACAUCGGAAUCUACUUUUUCGUGGGGAUAACGUAGGGAAACUUACGCUAAUACCGCAUACGACCUACGGGUGAAAGCAGGGGAUCUUCGGACCUUGCGCGAUUGCAUGAGCCGAUGUCGGAUUAGCUAGUUGGCGGGGUAAAGGCCCACCAAGGCGACGAUCCGUAGCUGGUCUGAGAGGAUGAUCAGCCACACUGGAACUGAGACACGGUCCAGACUCCUACGGGAGGCAGCAGUGGGGAAUAUUGGACAAUGGGCGCAAGCCUGAUCCAGCCAUACCGCGUGGGUGAAGAAGGCCUUCGGGUUGUAAAGCCCUUUUGUUGGGAAAGAAAAGCAGCAGGUUAAUACCCCGCUGUUCUGACGGUACCCAAAGAAUAAGCACCGGCUAACUUCGUG